CGCCCGCCACGCAGAUCAUCGUUUCUGGGCCGCUUCCUACCUACCGCCGAGGAAAUGAAAGGCUCUUCCGUCCUGACGGCCUGCACCCCAGUCGAGCCGGAGCUGAACUCCUGUCGGACAACAUCUCCAGACUACUUCGCACCAUCUGACUAGCAGG
Molecule: long non-coding RNA, 157 nt
Filed under: Danio rerio (zebrafish)
Lineage: Eukaryota; Metazoa; Chordata; Actinopteri; Cypriniformes; Danionidae
Description: si:cabz01070527.3 (ENSDARG00000104600.3)
Source: RNAcentral